Molecule: non-coding RNA, 186 nt
Organism: Triticum urartu
Lineage: Eukaryota; Viridiplantae; Streptophyta; Magnoliopsida; Poales; Poaceae
Source: RefSeq, a predicted model, not a curated record
CAGUCAGAGAACCAGGGGCAGCUGGUUUCAACGGGAAGGUACGUACUUAUAUGCCCCCACCAAUUUCAACGGAGAAAUAUGACCAGCGACAACUACUAAUAUCAGGUGGACCCAAGGUUAUAUGAUUUGUACAUGGCGGUGUUACUGAGCAGAAGGAGAAUAUAGGAAUCACCAGCAGCCCUUCUG